RNAcentral lists this unclassified non-coding RNA (239 nucleotides) under Helotiales sp. RNAcentral's name for it is "partial contains 5.8S ribosomal RNA, internal transcribed spacer 2, and large subunit ribosomal RNA". The record is from RNAcentral. Lineage: Eukaryota; Fungi; Ascomycota; Leotiomycetes; Helotiales.
CGCACAUUGCGCCCUCUGGUAUUCCGGAGGGCAUGCCUGUUCGAGCGUCAUAAUAACCAACUCACCCCCGUGGUGGACUUGGAGCUGGCCGGCCUGGCCUCUCUUAAAAUCAGUGGCGGUGCUCUUCAGCUCUACGCGUAGUAAUUUUUCUCGCGACAGGGUCUCGAUUGGACUUGCCAACAACCCCCAACUAUCAUAAGGUUGACCUCGGAUCAGGUAGGGAUACCCGCUGAACUUAA